This is a non-coding RNA of Arvicanthis niloticus (Nile rat), 684 nucleotides long. The record is from RefSeq and is a predicted model, not a curated record. NCBI's taxonomy places the organism in Eukaryota, Metazoa, Chordata, Mammalia, Rodentia, Muridae.
UGGUGAUUCCAGCUCCAGGGUUGCUGUGGUCAACACUGGGUACUUGAGGAGAGGUUGUCUGUGAUGAGUUCGCUUUAUUAAUGACGAAUAUAACACAGAUGGCCUGUUUUCAAUACCACCUGCCACUCCGGUCCCUCGGCAGUACAUACCAGGUGUCACACCGCUGCCCGGCAGGUGACGCUGAAUUGGUCCCCAGGUGCCGAAGUUCAGGAACUCUGCCUACACUCCCUCCCAGCUGCUCAUCCUAGGUUGGGACAUUCCAUUGGAGAGCUAUGGCUAUUAACAAGCCCCAAAGCCUGACCUGAAGCCAUCAGUGGCCCAGUAGCUGCUCUGCCUGAGCGUGUUGCCUUUUCCUCUCCCUGGAUCUCCUGCUUAGGACAACAGACAACAAAGAUUUUCGACCCCAGAAGAUGCUCCCCACUGCCCACCUGAGAAGACUAUCCAGUACCCUGUUGCCCCCAAUGCAUCCUGUGCUAUCCACCGAGUCUCCAACCCAUAGCCCCUGCCUCAUGUCUCACCCCAAGCCUUGCAUUUCAGAUCUGAGCAGCCCUUGCUUAUGAACCUGAGGUGGGGGGUGGGUACACAGACCCAGGGGACUGAGCAGGGAGGGGAAGGAGGGAUUUCUGCUUUUGGCUUUCAAAGUCUCAGUGAAUGUAUCCCUUUGAAUAAUAAACAUAUAUCAUA